GGCUGCAAAAGAAGCUGCCCUGGAAAAGCAAGUUGAAGACCUCACUUUACAAUUGGAGUUCGAGAAGCGCAUGAGGGCUGACUUGGAGGAAGCCAAAAUAAAAGAAAAUGUGAAACUACGGUCUUUUUUUGGAACAAAUGGAACUUGAGUUUCAAGAAACUAAAGAAUUGCUGAUGAAAGAAUUACCUGGGAAAUUUAAGGAGAUCGCUGAUGCAGUGGAAGCCAUAACUGAAGAAAAUGCGAAACUAAAGUCUGCUUUGUUGGAAGAAAUGCGAGUUAGGGAACAUAGUAAUCAGGCAAGUAGGAUUCGACCGGAAUCACCGGCACUGACCCGAAGGCAGACAAACGGCCACCGGUUACACAAGGACGACAAACGGUCACCCGUUACACAAGGACGACACAUUGAAGAGGAGUGGACAGCACAUUGAAGAUGAGUUACUCCUUGUCAUUAUUAGCAGCACUUAGUACAACAUUAUGCAUCCGUUACUUAAUCAC
Molecule: long non-coding RNA, 495 nt
Organism: Ipomoea triloba (trilobed morning glory)
Lineage: Eukaryota; Viridiplantae; Streptophyta; Magnoliopsida; Solanales; Convolvulaceae
Exons: 3
Source: RefSeq, a predicted model, not a curated record